AACUAUUCUGUGAUUUUUCAUGGACUGAAGAUAGAAUACGCACCAAACUAAUAUUAAGUCUGGUACAUAAAUUUUCUAUUCAUGAACUGACAAUAUUUCUUCUAUGUGGAAUACACAAGAUCUCCUCAAUGGGCCAUGAUGCAGGCAUCGCCGCAGGAAAUACUUGGCGCACCGAAGAACCUGUACUGUUGGAUUUGUCGAGAGAGGACUGAGGGAACACGCCAACGUUAGGGUGGCGGAUGCAAGUAUUGGAGUUCAGCCUAAAAUCACAAGAGAAUGGAUCAAAAUGAAUUCAGAUUGACUUCUAAUCAUUUAUCAAGCUAUAAAAGUUAGAACUGAUGUUACACAAACUGAGGCAUUUUUUUUAUAUGAACAGCUCACGUAAUUUGUAUAGUACCACUGUUUUUUCAUUCUCAUUAACAAAUAACCAUAGACUAAUGAGAGAAUGUAUUACUUGAUAGUAGGCAUUUUCUUCUCAGAACCACUUUGGUUUUCUUUUCUUUUUCUUCACUUUUGCUCUGCUUUCUUUUUUCUUUGCUUUAUGAAGUGCCCCAUCAGAAAAGUUGAACUUUAGAUUUUACCAAUCUCCACAUCUACUAAAACUAAGGGAGCUCCUUUUGAAACAUGUACAAUGAACUGAAAAGGCAUAUACAAGGUCAACUGAAAAACCAUAUACAAGGUGAACCAAAAAAGCUUCUGAGAAAAAAAAGUGAACCAACUUUUUGUUGUUUUUCUAGUUACUAAACUACUUAUUACCAUAACAGCGGCUGAACUGAUGCUGCAUAUGUAUAUAGGAAGGUUACUGGUACCAAAAAAUUAGGACAGUAAACAACAUUAUAAAUUGAAUUAUGUUAUAUGAAGAUGAGGCAAUUGUACUUACGAUUUGGCAUUAGAUGUACUGAAUAGCACACAGAAGAUGGACU
This 923-nucleotide long non-coding RNA is filed under the name Triticum aestivum (bread wheat). RNAcentral's name for it is "long non-coding RNA (TAES_LNC022107)". The record is from RNAcentral. Lineage: Eukaryota; Viridiplantae; Streptophyta; Magnoliopsida; Poales; Poaceae.